Molecule: long non-coding RNA, 685 nt
Organism: Trichosurus vulpecula (common brushtail)
Lineage: Eukaryota; Metazoa; Chordata; Mammalia; Diprotodontia; Phalangeridae
Exons: 3
Source: RefSeq, a predicted model, not a curated record
AAGUACAUCACAAUCACUUGCCAACCACGUCAAGUGAGUAGCUUGCCAAGUGACCAGGAAUGUAAGGAUACAGAAAAGUUAAAAGAACUGAACCCCUAAGAGGACCCCAACAACAGAUUGCAGUUGGACCACUAUCUUCUGAGAAGAACCAACAUGGAGAUGGCCUAAGCCAAGAUUCCGAUGAAGGCAUGGUUUUUCAAAGGAUCUUCUAAGAUUUGUGCUUUUGGCUUCAGAUACAGACAGGAAGCUGUCAGAAAACUGAUGAUGUGGCAGGUGGCAGCCACCAGAAGAUUCAUCCUGUUUCUAGAAUGUCUUCACAACACACCAAACCUCCCUGUUCCCUGAGAUAUAACAGUAUUGAAGAAUAUUACACAGACUUAGUUGAUAAAGCAGUGGCAGGGUUUGGGAGGACUGACUCCAAUUUUGAAAGAAGUUUACUACUAAAAUGCUACCUGCAUGCUACAGAAAAAUCUUUUGUGAAAGGAAGAGUCAAUUGAUGCGGCGAACUUCAUUGUUGUCUUAAAGAAAUUGCCACAGCCACCCUAACCUUCAGCCACCACCACCCUGAUAAGUCAGCAGCCAUCAACACUGAGGCAAGACCUCCACCAGCAAAAAGAUUAUGACUCACUGAAGGCUCAAAUGAGAGUUAGCAUUUUUUUUAGUAAUAAAGUAUUUCUUAAUUCAG